CGAUGCCUUGGGGGUGCUGAGGGGGAGGGAGGCUUAGUGCAGUGGCUGGGAAUGGGGAAAGGCCGACCGCUAUGCCUUUUCCUAGAGACCCGCCAGGAGGUUUUGCUAAGGAGCUGAGAAAGAGGCUCCUAGGGCUUUGAAAGAGGCAGGGAGGCGUCCCGGGGCGGGCUUCUGCAGAAGUCUCAGGCUCCUCUGCCAGGUAGGCGCAACCCUCUCCAAAUGGUGUGCUCGCAAUGUGCCAACAUGUGCUUGUGCUUAGCUAUCAAGUCUGUGUUGGCUUUUACACGCUCUCACUGUGUUGUUGCUGUAGGUUUUGGCAGUGUGAUAGUAACGGGAAGUGAAGCUACACAAAAGUGCUUUUGUGAGAUUUCAGCUCCCCGCGAACCCAGUGGUUCAAGGCAGGAGGAAGCCCCUCACCGCCCCUCCCUUCUGCAAUGUAGAGGGGCUUUUGCAGCUUGGCUGCUGUGGCCCCUUCAGAAGGGCAGGGCCUCGGUGGGGAGUGGGGUGGGGGGCAGAAGGGGAAGCCUCUCCUCCAGUCCCGUCUUUGUCUUGUUGAUGGUAGGACUGCCUGCCCCGGUAAAGGGAAGCUGGAACACCCAUCCUACAUUGUUUUAUUUGGUUCAUUUCUGCCUGGGAGUGCUUUGUGGCCUUGCGUAAAUGGUGGAGGGAGGAGAGGAGGAGGAGAGGAGAGGAGAAGCGACGUGGACUCCACCUGUCUGGGGCUUCUUUGAAAACCCCUGCCGCCUCCCUGGGUAUUCUUUAAGGUCAUGCUGGGCUUUCUCCUUCGGGGUUCCUGAGAAAGGCAUCCAUUCCAUGCUUCUUGUCUUGGAUGCUAAGGUCCAGAUUUGAAUUCUCAGUGAUUAAAUAUUCCAGAGAGAGGAAUACUAAGGAUUUAGAUACAGCGAAUUUACUUAAGGGCCCCACCUGAAUCUGUUUUAUCCCGUAAAAUUUCCCCCAAAGGAAAAGAAAAUGCACUUAUAAUAUGAAUUUAUAUGCUGUGGCUAUGUGAGUAGCUAUAAAUAAUCAGAAAAUGCAAGUCUCUUUAGGUUAAAACUCACAAACAAAAUUCCCAAAGUGGCAGCUAUGGUACACUUCCUCUCAAUUUCAGUGACCCGUGGCCCCCUUAGGUUUAUGGAUUUGGCCAGAGAAGCUUCACUUUUCCAAGUAGUUUUUAAUAAUUGCACGGUGAUUGCUCUGUCAUUAAUGAAGAAUAAAAAAAUGACACUAAAAUAUGAGAGGUUGUGGUAUUUGAAGUUUUAGAAAGGGAGUUAAUGAAACACUAGCUAUCACUCUGCAGAAAUUCUAGGUUAUUUAAUAUCUUGGACAAAAGGAAACAUUUUGAUUCUUUUUUAGUGACUAGGAGAAACAAUGUUUUGAGAAGAGAUGUUUUGAUUUAGCCUGAGCUUUUCGUGGCAGGGAAAAAAAUGUCCAUUUUCUCAGUUUUUUCCAGAUGACCUCCUUUCUACCAAGAUGUGUUGUAAGUGAUGGAGGAAGUAGGCAUCUUCCUGUAUCUGGAGGUGCAGGCUGCAUCCGGGGAGGGGGCUGGUCCUUGGGCAGUGGCAGCUCCUUCGAUGCUCUCAUGCUCUCGGAUACCCUCAGUGUGUUCUUGUUUACGGAGUGGCAAUGUCUCCAGGAUAGUUCAGGAGCUGUACGUAACCACCAGGGACCACCCGUGCCUGCUAUAACUCAACUCAGGCCUCUGGCAUCUCAGAGUUAAAAAUAGGUGAAUGGAGAAGAUGUGUCACACUUUGUGAAAAUGACAGCAAAGGGCCCCACCACAUGUCGAGGCAGACAUGUCUUUGCUGCUAUGAUGUGGUUGGAUGAGCUUUGCCAGGAUUUGGAGGAGGAUUCUGCUAGCACAGUGGUAGUGGCCUGUACUGUCUGUCUUCUAGGCAGUGGGGUGCAGGGCCAAAUCACUCAGCUGGAAGCCCCGGUCCCCACCCGUUGGGAGAGCUGGCUGCUGGCAAGUAGGGAUAAAGUGUGACGGCACUGUGGGUGAAGGCAGUGCCCCCUCUCCAACUCAGACUCUCUUGGGUCUGGGGCCACCAGAAUAUUCCUCCUCCAGCAGUGAAUUUUCCAUUUUGUUCGGGAGACACGCGCACUUCUAGUUGAGGCCUUUUGAACCACUCCUUCGUGCUAGAGAAUAGGAUGUCGUCCCUGCUUGGGGAGCAUGGGGCAGGCCAGCUGGUGCCCAAGGGGGUCGGUACUGGGUCUGCUAAACAUGAAGACCGUCUAGUUCUGCUGCCUAGACACAGCAGAAGCCAGACUUCUGUAUUAAGGGAGACAUUUCCACUGGCAGACGGCUGUGUCCAGCGAUGCCCAGAUGCUCACCUGGUUGAAAUCUGGUUUUCUGAGCAGCAGCCUUGGGUCCUCCUGAGAGGGUGGCAGGCUCUGUUGUCUUAGCUCAUGGUCUGUCCAUUCAUCAUGUACGUCCUAGGCUUCAUCCUAGUGUGCUCACAUCUUACUACCAGAGUGGCAUGGGAAAAAGAAGAGCUGUGGAUUGUGUGAUGUCGAGUCAAACCUAGCAAAGCUAGUGCAGUGACUGCUCCUGGGACAGUCUCCUGGAGGUGUCCGCAGGAGUGGGGACCCCGCUGUCAGUGUGGAAGGGAGUAGGGACCACCCUGUGGAUGUAACAGAGCGUAACUCAAAUCUAAGAAGUCAUUUAUCCUGCUUGUGAUUUUUUAUUUAAACUCAUGGCAGAAAAUAAUCCAGGACUGUGGACUGAUUGUCUUCUUAAAGCAGGGAGCAAAACUGAAUUCUUCCCAAGAGGACUUGGUGCACAUUAAAAGGCAGACUCUUCUCUUGCUUGAAUCUAGUCUUUGGAACAGCCCGUGAGAAGAAGAGCAAACACUACUGCUGUCUCUGGGACAGAUGUCAUUGGGGCCUCGCCAGUCUCCUGAGAGCAGGUUGGUGGGGUCACAGAAGCCUCCCCCGGCCCAGAAAGCAGGGCCUUUUCAGUGGGUCUGGGCCAGGAGCCCUCAGACAGGUGCAGCAUCGAGGGUCUGGGAGGCAGCCAUCUGUCAGAGGCAGGGAAGGACCUCCGUUGUUCCCCUGAGGUGUCUGGAUUGGGAAGGAAAGAGAGGCAGCUGACAAGAGCGCCCCAGAGUUGAGAGAUGUGGGGAGCAGGAUAGGAGAGAACUGGAGCCCUCUGAGGUGUGUCUGGGCAGCGCUGGUGUGUCUGCAGACUUCUGUGUACCCGGGAGUGAACUGCCCCCUGCUGUCGCCUGCUGUCUGCCUGCUGUGAGGUCACCUGGGUGCUGGAGCUCCGAAAGGUGCCUCCUGAGAGGUCUGGGACGGUCGUGGGCAGCCACCUCCCUACCCGGAGCUUCUACUUCUGCCCCUGUAAAAGGAGCAGCUCUCCAGUCCCCUGGUUCUAGGAUUCUAGAUGGUCCAAAAGUCCAUUAACAGAGUUUAAAGGCAGAGGAGCUGUGACUGUUCCUGGAAAGGCCCCCCGCCCCCCAAUCCCAGAGCCACUUCUCACAAGUAUCACAGCUCUUGCCUGUGUCUAUGUGUGUGUGUGUGUGUGUGCGUGCGCGCAUGUGUGCACGUGUGUCCAUUACAAUCCUAGAGUCUGUUGGUGCCUUAUGGAUGUGGCUUUGAUUUCCAGCUGGGUCAAGGCAGGUGCAGGGGAGACCAGGAUCUCAGGGGUAGGGCUCAGCUCACCAAAGCCACAAGCUUUCCUAUGUUCUGGGUGAGGGGCACUACCAACCCAGCUGGAGAUCUGUCCCCCCCACCCCCACCCCACUCCGCCACACACACCCAGGGGCAGGUGGAGCCACACCUGCUGAGAUUGUCCUGUGACCAGAUUCUGGGAAGGCUGCCGCCUGCUGCUGGGGCCUCUGUGGGAGCGGCAGAAGAAAGCAAGCCUGGGCCUUGCUGGCAGCCCAGCAGGGACCUGGGACUGUCCCAGAGUCCCUGGACAAGGCAAGCAAGCCUGUGCAGGGUGAAGUGCUGGGCCAGGUCCCCACAGGCCCCCACCCCCUCCUCGCUGCCAUGCCCAUGUCUGGUCCAGCUUGCUGGAGGAGUGACCCAGCGGCAGGCACCUACAGAGCUGCUCUCUUCCUUUUUGUGGCCUGAAAAAUGGUGGUAGAGUUUAACAGUGAGAGACAAGGAGGAGUCAAAAGAGGUAACUUAUAAUUUUUCAGGCAGCUCUGCCUUUUGUGCCUGGAGCUUCUGGCCACUUGGGCUAGAGCAAGCUUCUUCCUCCUUUUGUUGCCAUUUCUGGACUUUAGCUUGUUAAAUAGUUAAAUCCCGACGGGACUCAAGGUGAGAGAAACCUGUUCUGGUCAGGAAGGCCACACUUCCCUUAAGUGGAGUCACCUGCCUGGAGGCAGCUGCAGGAAGAGGGUUGGAAGCUGGCUUAGGAAGUCAAUGGGGGUGACUGAGGGCUUGACAUUUGCUGUGUGGGCUCUGAUGAUUGGUUCAGGGAUACUCUCUGCUCAUGAUGUGUGCACACCCAGCUCCACCAGAGCUUGGCUUCUUCCCACCCACCCUCAAACUGCCGGCACCAGGCCCGUGCUUGAGGCCGGCCUGGGACUUGGCCAUUGGCCUUCUGACUGGGCAGCGUUUGGGUUGGCGCUUCACAGUGACUGCCACACUUUCGGCCGAGGAACCUGGGGAAAGGUGGAGUCGGAGUGUCAGCGAGGUCACUGAAAAACUGGUCUGCAUUUCGAGUUUGUGCUUAGAGUUCUUGGAAAGUACAGCACGCCCUCCGACCGGCCCGCCUGGGGGGAUUUGGUCCGCUUGCUCCUGCCUUCGUACACCUCCAGGGAGCAGUCCUGCAGGCCCCUCUGGCAUCUGUGUGUGGGAGUGUAUGUGUCUGGGCUGCAAAGGACAGGGCUGGUUUCCCUCACCCGCAUCCCCCUACAACGGCAAGAGGGCUGCAGUGUGCAUGGACGCUUCUGCAAAGAGGUGUUUCUGAGUCUGCUGGCAGGACAGCUUGGCGUGCUGGUCUAUGAAGCACUUCCUUCCGCUUGGUUAGAAACCCUUCAUUCCAGACAGGGCCACCUUGUUCUAAGUCAGUGAUAGGAAGCUGAAACAAGUUGUUUAGAAAAACCAGGAAAAGCUUCUGAUGGUCGCGUCUCAGGCACCUUUCAGCCUGGUAGUCCAGACCUUCCAGGCUGUGGCCGGCUGCUUGGUUUCUGCAUUUCUGUGUUACAAUCUUUUGAGCUGUUGGCGACUAGGAGUGCGGUGUGGAGGCAGCUGGAGAUUUGGCCAGGCACGAGGCAGGAGGUGGGUCAGCGCUGUCUUCUUUGCAAAAAUUGUCUCUGCACUGCUCCAUCUGACCGGCAGUGGCAGCGACCACACCCAGCUGCUGCAUCUAGAGAUGGGGUGGUGGGGGUGAGAUGCCUGUUCUGAGCCUCCACCCUGCUCGGACACUUGGCUGCAAGAAUCUAGAACCUUGUCUGAACCUCCUGGUGCUGAGGUGUGCCUCUGUUUGACAGAAACCAGAUCCCUUGCAAGGCUCAGGGGUCCUGCUGAGCUGGAGGUAAACACAAAGCAAGCGGAGGCAGGCGCUGGCUUCAGUGCCCCUGAGCACCCUGCCUGGUGCCGCUGCAAGGUGGGAGGGGGCGUGGUGGCUCGGUGCACCUGCACCUGCACACUUGGCCGCUGUUUGACGCACUUGCACAGCUUCCUGACCAGCCUGGCCUCCCUCAGACCUAGCGCCUGGGCAGCCCUAGCCUGCCUGGACUCCUCAGUGGAGUGAGUCUGAAAAUUCCGGAUCAGGGCCCGUCAGAGUCAGAAGAAAGCCAGCCAUUCAGCAUUCUGUUUAGAAAAUGAUGAUACAUGUUCAGGGAGAAAGCAAGAAUGUAUUUUCUGGCCGGGAGAUACUCGAGUGUUCCAAGCCAGGAACAGAGACUCUGGAAAGCAGAGUUUCUCUGGCUUUCUCCACCUCCGAUAAAUCACGGAUGGCGAACAUCAGCUUCCUUACAGUAAUUGCCGUUUUCCUGUUGUUGUUUGGGGUUUUCUGUUUUGUUUUUUUGUAUUCCACUUUUUACCGUAGUGCAAACAGCUUCUGUGUUUCCUGUGACAAAGAAUCCUGAGUCCCCUUAGGUCUCUCAGCUGGAAGUAUUUCACCCCAAAUGAGAAGUUAAUGCAUUUUUUUUUUUUUUUACAAGGAUUUGUAUGCUGAGUGUAACUUGCUGUUCAGCAGUUGAGAAUAGGGGAUUCUGAAAAGUUUGGAAAAAAAGAAUUUUAAAUAGAUAUCAAGAGGUUCCUGCAGAACUCCCGCACCAGCCUCUGGCACACCUCUGUUUAAGCAGGCUCUUGGUGGGCAGCAGCUUCUGACAUGACGGGCGCCCUGCCUCCGAGCGAGCACCCUGACUCUGCUGCCAAUACCGUGAUUCUAAGGAUAUGAGCGAAACUCAGAAUUACAGUAAUGCCAUCACAGCUCAAUACGUACCAUUCCCUCGGCAGCUGAAGACAGAAUGUAUUAUUUCGGGGGGCUCAAAUCCCUUUCAUUUCACAGCCAUACCCACUAUUUCUCAGCUUGGCUUGGGAGUCAGAUGGGAAAAGUGGUGAGAAUUUUAAGCUCAUUGAAUGCAAGCUGAGAUCGCCUUCAUCGGCAGUCGUCCAGCUCUGGUUUGGCCAGAGCAGAGCUCCGAGGCUUGGAGGCUGGAGAGCGGGCCGCCUCCCUGCUGCUCUGCUGGGCCGCUGGGGCAGCACGAGCUGAUGUUGUGAGUGCUGCUCAUGCCCAGACCAGCUGGCAGGGAGCUUUUCCAGGCCAGGUACAAACCCACUGUGUAUAUGUAUUCUCAAGUUUAAAUAGAUUGUACAUACUGGAAUGUAAAUGAACUGUAAAACAGCAAUCUCUAUUUUUCUUGACAGUUAUAUAGCAGUAUAUAUUUGUUAAACAGGCUCGUAUGCUCUUCAUUAGCCCUUUUAAAAUGUUGUACAGAUAAAUUGAUUAAAUAUUUUAUUGAUA
Long non-coding RNA from Canis lupus familiaris (dog), 6925 nucleotides. RefSeq lists it as uncharacterized. The transcript is spliced from 2 exons. Lineage: Eukaryota; Metazoa; Chordata; Mammalia; Carnivora; Canidae. The record is from RefSeq and is a predicted model, not a curated record.